UGAGGAAUAUUGGUCAAUGGGCGAGAGCCUGAACCAGCCAAGUAGCGUGAAGGAUGACUGCCCUAUGGAUUGUAAACUUCUUUUAUAAAGGAAUAAAGUCGGGUAUGGAUACGCGUUUGCAUGUACUUUAUGAAUAAGGAUCGGCUAACUCCGUGCCAGCGGCCGCGGUAAUACGGAGGAUCCGAGCGUUAUCCGGAUUUAUUGGGUUUAAAGGGAGCGUAGAUGGAUAUUUAAGUCAGUUGUGAAAGUUUGCGGCUCAACCGUAAAAUUGCAGUUGAUACUGGCGUCCUUGAGUACGGUUGAGGCAGGCGGAAUUCGUGGUGUAGCGGUGAAAUGCUUAGAUAUCACGAAGAACCCCGAUUGCGAAGGCAGCCUGCUAAACCGCCACUGACGUUGAGGCUCGAAAGUGUGGGUAUCAAACAGGAUUAGAUACCCUGGUAGUCCACACGGUAAACGAUGGAUACUCGCUGUUGGCGAUAGACUGUCAGCGGCUUAGCGAAAGCGUUAAGUAUCCCACCUGGGGAGUACGCCGGCAACGGUGAAACUCAAAGGAAUUGACGGGGGCCCGCACAAGCGGAGGAACAUGUGGUUUAAUUCGAUGAUACGCGAGGAACCUUACCCGGGCUUGAAUUGCAGACGAAUUGCUUGGAAACAGGCAAGCCGCAAGGCGUCUGUGAAGGUGCUGCAUGGUUGUCGUCAGCUCGUGCCGUGAGGUGUCGGCUUAAGUGCCAUAACGAGCGCAACCCUCGUGUCCAGUUACUAGCAGGUUAUGCUGAGGACUCUGGACAGACUGCCAUCGUAAGAUGUGAGGAAGGUGGGGAUGACGUCAAAUCAGCACGGCCCUUACGUCCGGGGCUACACACGUGUUACAAUGGGGGGUACAGCAGGCAGCUACCGGGCGACCGGAUGCCAAUCCCGAAAGCCUCUCUCAGUUCGGACUGGAGUCUGCAACCCGACUCCACGAAGCUGGAUUCGCUAGUAAUCGCGCAUCAGCCACGGCGCGGUGAAUACGUUCCC
Molecule: ribosomal RNA, 1017 nt
Filed under: uncultured bacterium
Lineage: Bacteria
Description: bacterial SSU rRNA
Rfam family: Bacterial small subunit ribosomal RNA
Source: RNAcentral